UAUCUCUGUAGAGUCUGCAUAUCAAUAAGCGGAGGAAAAGAAACUAACAAGGAUUCCCUUAGUAACGGCGAGUGAAGCGGGAAGAGCUCAAAUUUGAAAUCUUCAAGGUUCUACCUUGACGAAUUGUAGUUUAAAGAAGUGUUUUCUGUUAGAUGAGUAGCAAAAGUUCCUUGGAAUGGGACAUCAUAGAGGGUGAGAAUCCCGUAUUUAGGUUAUUCAUUCUAGCUUUGUGAUACACUUUCAAAGAGUCGGAUUGUUUGGGAAUGCAGUCCAAAAUGGGUGGUAAAUUUCAUCUAAAGCUAAAUAUUGGCGAGAGACCGAUAGCGAACAAGUACCGUGAGGGAAAGAUGAAAAGAACUUUGAAAAGAGAGUUAAACAGUACGUGAAAUUGUCAAAAGGGAAGCGUUUGACACCAGUGUUGUUUUUCCGAAAAUCAAUUACAAAUGGCUUGAUUCUGUGUUGUAUUGACCUUAUCAGCUUUCUGCACUUUUUUCGAGUCUUUCUUAAUGCACUUUUCGGUUAACAAGUCAACAUCAAUUUCUUUUGUUGUAAAAGAGUAUUCGGAAGGUGGCUUUCUUUUCGGAGAAAGUGUUUAUAGCCCUAUACUUCUACAAUCGGAGAGAUUGAGGUCUGCAGCGUAGAUCCUUCGGGGUUAGAUACACUUGUGCUAAGUUGUAGCUUUUCAUAGACAACUUGUUGACUAUGUUUAGUCAUGCGGCUUACUCGCUUGUACUAUUUUACCUACGCUUAGGAUGUUGACUGAUAUGUAGUCGUA
This 775-nucleotide ribosomal RNA is filed under the name uncultured Neocallimastigales. Its description in RNAcentral is "partial large subunit ribosomal RNA". It matches the Rfam family "Eukaryotic large subunit ribosomal RNA", at positions 24 to 644 of the family's 3401-position model. The record is from RNAcentral. Lineage: Eukaryota; Fungi; Neocallimastigomycota; Neocallimastigomycetes; Neocallimastigales.